Molecule: ribosomal RNA, 497 nt
Filed under: uncultured bacterium
Lineage: Bacteria
Description: partial 16S ribosomal RNA
Rfam family: Bacterial small subunit ribosomal RNA
Source: RNAcentral
GAUGAACGCUGGCGGCGUGCCUAAUACAUGCAAGUCGAGCGAACGGACGAGAAGCUUGCUUCUCUGAUGUUAGCGGCGGACGGGUGAGUAACACGUGGAUAACCUACCUAUAAGACUGGGAUAACUUCGGGAAACCGGCGCUAAUACCGGAUAAUAUUUUGAACCGCAUGGUUCAAAAGUGAAAGACGGUCUUGCUGUCACUUAUAGAUGGAUCCGCGCUGCAUGAGCUAGUUGGUAAGGUAACGGCUUACCAAGGCAACGAUGCAUAGCCGACCUGAGAGGGUGAUCGGCCACACUGGAACUGAGACACGGUCCAGACUCCUACGGGAGGCAGCAGUAGGGAAUCUUCCGCAAUGGGCGAAAGCCUGACGGAGCAACGCCGCGUGAGUGAUGAAGGUCUUCGGAUCGUAAAACUCUGUUAUUAGGGAAGAACAUAUGUGUAAGUAACUGUGCACAUCUUGACGGUACCUAAUCAGAAAGCCACGGCUAACUACGUG